This 238-nucleotide ribosomal RNA is filed under the name uncultured bacterium. RNAcentral describes it as "partial 16S ribosomal RNA". It matches the Rfam family "Bacterial small subunit ribosomal RNA", at positions 105 to 334 of the family's 1533-position model. The record is from RNAcentral.
CCGACGGUGAGUAACACGUAUGCAAUCCACCUGUAACAGGGGGAUAACCCGGAGAAAUCCGGACUAAUACCCCAUAAUAUGGGCGCUCCGCAUGGAGAGCCCAUUAAAGAGAGCAAUUUUGGUUACAGACGAGCAUGCGCUCCAUUAGCCAGCUGGCGGGGUAACGGCCCACCAAAGCGACGAUGGAUAGGGGUUCUGAGAGGAAGGUCCCCCACAUUGGAACUGAGACACGGUCCAA